GUAUUAGGUUUAAAGGCACUAUAAUACCCAUAAUUGACAUUCUAUUACUUGUUAUUGGAGUAUAUGAUUGAAACAUAGAACCUGGGAACGAGAGAACAGCCAGGCAGUUCUCAAAACCGAGUUUCCUCGAAAAAGUUCUUUCAGGCCCUACAGUAUGUGCACAGGUGGGGUUUGAAACAAUGGAACGAGCGUGCACAUGCUCCCGAAAGAGCCAGCAGCAACCCAACCAAGUUUUUUAAAUUCAAUAAUGAUCCUUCCGCAGGUUCACCUACGGAAA
Molecule: unclassified non-coding RNA, 277 nt
Filed under: uncultured fungus
Lineage: Eukaryota; Fungi
Description: sequence contains ITS1
Source: RNAcentral